GUGGCCGUGGCCGCGAGCCGCGACGCAAGCACGCGCCGCUCCUGGGAAUUGUUUCGAGAAGGAAUAUUUUCGUCGGACUAUUUCUCGAUUUUCAUC
Non-coding RNA from Caenorhabditis elegans, 96 nucleotides. The record is from Ensembl. NCBI's taxonomy places the organism in Eukaryota, Metazoa, Nematoda, Chromadorea, Rhabditida, Rhabditidae.